RNAcentral lists this non-coding RNA (335 nucleotides) under Daphnia magna. Its description in RNAcentral is "Bacterial large subunit ribosomal RNA". It matches the Rfam family "Bacterial large subunit ribosomal RNA", at positions 2594 to 2925 of the family's 2925-position model. Lineage: Eukaryota; Metazoa; Arthropoda; Branchiopoda; Diplostraca; Daphniidae. The record is from Rfam by way of RNAcentral.
AGGUACGUGAGCUGGGUUUAAAACGUCGUGAGACAGUUUGGUCCCUAUCUUCCGUGGGCGCUGCAAGAUUGAGAGAGCCUGCUCCUAGUACGAGAGGACCGGAGUGGACGCACCUCUGGUGUAUCGGUUGUCACGCCAGUGGCAUCGCCGAGUAGCUAAGUGCGGAAGAGAUAACCGCUGAAAGCAUCUAAGCGGGAAACUCGUCUCAAGAUGAGUCUGCCGGGGCCUUGAGCCCCCUGAAGAGUCGUUCAAGACCAGGACGUUGAUAGGCUGGGUGUGGAAGAGCGGUAACGCUUUAAGCUAACCAGUACUAAUUGCUCGUGAGGCUUGACCCU